GGAAUCGCUAGUAAUCGCGAAUCAGAAUGUCGCGGUGAAUACGUUCCCGGGUCUUGUACACACCGCCCGUCACACCAUGGAAGUCUGCAAUGCCCGAAGUCUGUGACCUAACCGCAAGGGAGGAGCAGCCGAAGGCAGGUCGGAUGACUGGGGUGAAGUCGUAACAAGGUACC
This 173-nucleotide ribosomal RNA is filed under the name uncultured bacterium. RNAcentral describes it as "partial 16S ribosomal RNA". It matches the Rfam family "Bacterial small subunit ribosomal RNA", at positions 1328 to 1500 of the family's 1533-position model. The record is from RNAcentral.